Molecule: microRNA precursor, 52 nt
Filed under: Equus caballus (horse)
Lineage: Eukaryota; Metazoa; Chordata; Mammalia; Perissodactyla; Equidae
Description: mir-1302 microRNA precursor family
Rfam family: mir-1302 microRNA precursor family
Source: Rfam by way of RNAcentral
UUUUUAGUGUAAGUAUAUCCCAUGCAAUAUUUGCGACAUACUUAUACUAAAA